This 422-nucleotide ribosomal RNA is filed under the name uncultured bacterium. Its description in RNAcentral is "bacterial SSU rRNA". It matches the Rfam family "Bacterial small subunit ribosomal RNA", at positions 954 to 1374 of the family's 1533-position model. The record is from RNAcentral.
GCUUAACGCGAAGAACCUUACCCACACUUGACAUGCCUCUUUUGGCUUUCAGAGAUGAUUGCCUUCGGUUCGGCCGGGGAGUGCACAGGUGCUGCAUGGCUGUCGUCAGCUCGUGUCGUGAGAUGUUGGGUUAAGUCCCGCAACGAGCGCAACCCUUAUCGUAUGUUGCCAGCAUUUAGUGGGGCACUCGUGCGAGACUGCCGGUGAUAAGCCGGAGGAAGGCGGGGACGACGUCAAGUCAUCAUGGCCCUUACGUGUGGGGCUAGAAACGUGCUACAAUGGGAGUGACAGUGAGCAGCAAGGUCGCGAGGCCAAGCUAAUCUCCAAAAGCUCUCUCAGUUCGGAUUGUUCUCUGCAACUCGAGAGCAUGAAGUUGGAAUCGCUAGUAAUCGCGGAUCAGCAUGCCGCGGUGAAUACGUUCC